Molecule: ribosomal RNA, 235 nt
Filed under: uncultured Staphylococcus sp.
Lineage: Bacteria; Bacillati; Bacillota; Bacilli; Caryophanales; Staphylococcaceae
Description: partial 16S ribosomal RNA
Rfam family: Bacterial small subunit ribosomal RNA
Source: RNAcentral
GGUGAGUAACACGUGGAUAACCUACCUAUAAGACUGGGAUAACUUCGGGAAACCGGAGCUAAUACCGGAUAAUAUUUUGAACCGCAUGGUUCAAAAGUGAAAGACGGUCUUGCUGUCACUUAUAGAUGAAUCCGCGCUGCAUUAGCUAGUUGGUAAGGUAACGGCUUACCAAGGCAACGAUGCAUAGCCGACCUGAGAGGGUGAUCGGCCACACUGGAACUGAGACACGGUCCAG